This 578-nucleotide ribosomal RNA is filed under the name Erwinia sp. Arv-29-1.3a. RNAcentral describes it as "bacterial SSU rRNA". It matches the Rfam family "Bacterial small subunit ribosomal RNA", at positions 56 to 623 of the family's 1533-position model. The record is from RNAcentral. Lineage: Bacteria; Pseudomonadati; Pseudomonadota; Gammaproteobacteria; Enterobacterales; Erwiniaceae.
UGCAAGUCGAACGGUAGCACAGAAGAGCUUGCUCUUUGGGUGACGAGUGGCGGACGGGUGAGUAAUGUCUGGGGAUCUGCCCGGCAGAGGGGGAUAACUACUGGAAACGGUAGCUAAUACCGCAUAACCUCGCAAGAGCAAAGAGGGGGACCUUAGGGCCUCUCGCUGUCGGAUGAACCCAGAUGGGAUUAGCUAGUAGGUGAGGUAACGGCUCACCCAGGCGACGAUCCCUAGCUGGUCUGAGAGGAUGACCAGCCACACUGGAACUGAGACACGGUCCAGACUCCUACGGGAGGCAGCAGUGGGGAAUAUUGCACAAUGGGCGCAAGCCUGAUGCAGCCAUGCCGCGUGUAUGAAGAAGGCCUUCGGGUUGUAAAGUACUUUCAGCGGGGAGGAAGGGUUGUGGGCGAAUACCCUGCGACAUUGACGUUACCCGCAGAAGAAGCACCGGCUAACUCCGUGCCAGCAGCCGCGGUAAUACGGAGGGUGCGAGCGUUAAUCGGAAUUACUGGGCGUAAAGCGCACGCAGGCGGUCUGUCAAGUCAGAUGUGAAAUCCCCGGGCUUAACCUGGGAACUG